RNAcentral lists this ribosomal RNA (530 nucleotides) under Citrobacter braakii. RNAcentral describes it as "partial 23S ribosomal RNA". It matches the Rfam family "Bacterial large subunit ribosomal RNA", at positions 911 to 1438 of the family's 2925-position model. The record is from RNAcentral. Lineage: Bacteria; Pseudomonadati; Pseudomonadota; Gammaproteobacteria; Enterobacterales; Enterobacteriaceae.
UGUUUCGGCUAGGGGGUCAUCCCGACUUACCAACCCGAUGCAAACUGCGAAUACCGAAGAAUGUUAUCACGGGAGACACACGGCGGGUGCUAACGUCCGUCGUGAAGAGGGAAACAACCCAGACCGCCAGCUAAGGUCCCAAAGUCAUGGUUAAGUGGGAAACGAUGUGGGAAGGCACAGACAGCCAGGAUGUUGGCUUAGAAGCAGCCAUCAUUUAAAGAAAGCGUAAUAGCUCACUGGUCGAGUCGGCCUGCGCGGAAGAUGUAACGGGGCUAAACCAUGCACCGAAGCUGCGGCAGCGACACUAUGUGUUGUUGGGUAGGGGAGCGUUCUGUAAGCCGUUGAAGGUGUGCUGUGAGGCAUGCUGGAGGUAUCAGAAGUGCGAAUGCUGACAUAAGUAACGAUAAUGCGGGUGAAAAACCCGCACGCCGGAAGACCAAGGGUUCCUGUCCAACGUUAAUCGGGGCAGGGUGAGUCGACCCCUAAGGCGAGGCCGAAAGGCGUAGUCGAUGGGAAACAGGUUAAUAUUC